This 271-nucleotide ribosomal RNA is filed under the name uncultured archaeon. RNAcentral describes it as "partial 16S ribosomal RNA". It matches the Rfam family "Archaeal small subunit ribosomal RNA", at positions 477 to 747 of the family's 1478-position model. The record is from RNAcentral.
CAGCGCCACGAGUGGCAAUCAUGUUUACUUGGCCUAAAGCGUCCGUAGCCUGUUUGAUAAAUCUCUUGUGAAAUUGUUGGGCCUAACUCAACAACGUGCAGGAGACACUAUUUUACUUGGGACCGGGAGGAGUCAGAGGUAUUCCUUGGGGAGCGGUAAAAUGCUAUAAUCCUUGGAAGACCACCUGUGGCGAAGGCGUCUGACCAGAACGGAUCCGACGGUGAGGGACGAAAGCUAGGGGAGCGAACCGGAUUAGAUACCCGAGUAGUCC